This 497-nucleotide ribosomal RNA is filed under the name uncultured bacterium. RNAcentral describes it as "partial 16S ribosomal RNA". It matches the Rfam family "Bacterial small subunit ribosomal RNA", at positions 28 to 507 of the family's 1533-position model. The record is from RNAcentral.
GAUGAACGCUGGCGGCGUGCCUAAUACAUGCAAGUCGAGCGAACGGACGAGAAGCUUGCUUCUCUGAUGUUAGCGGCGGACGGGUGAGUAACACGUGGAUAACCUACCUAUAAGACUGGGAUAACUUCGGGAAACCGGAGCUAAUACCGGAUAAUAUUUUGAACCGCAUGGUUCAAAAGUGAAAGACGGUCUGGCUGUCACUUAUAGAGGGAUCCGCGCUGCAUUAGCUAGUUGGUAAGUUAACGGCUUACCAAGGCAACGAUGCAUAGCCGACCUGAGAGGGUGAUCGGCCACACUGGAACUGAGACACGGUCCAGACUCCUACGGGAGGCAGCAGUAGGGAAUCUUCCGCAAUGGGCGAAAGCCUGACGGAGCAACGCCGCGUGAGUGAUGAAGGUCUUCGGAUCGUAAAACUCUGUUAUUAGGGAAGAACAUAUGUGUAAGUAACUGUGCACAUCUUGACGGUACCUAAUCAGAAAGCCACGGCUAACUACGUG